AAGCGGGGAUAAGUAUAUUAGACGAGAAGACCCCAUGGAGCUUUAAACCCGACAGCACCCACUUAUUUAACACCUUCUUAUCCGCCUGGCCCCUGUCUGCUCGGUUUUGGGUUGGGGUGACCGCGGAGCAUAAAAUAGCCUCCACGAAAGAAGGGAUGAUUCCCUCAUUUUAGAACUACACUUCCAAAGACUAACAAAUUAAUUUUAAGUGAUCCGAUACCCGUAUUCGAUCAACGAACCAAGUUACCCUGGGGAUAACAGCGCAAUCUACCUCAAGAGCCCCUAUCGACAGGUGGGUUUACGACCUCGAUGUUGGAUCAGGGUAUCCCAGUGGUGCAGCAGCUACCAAAGGUUCGUUUGUUCAACGAUUAAAACCCU
RNAcentral lists this ribosomal RNA (378 nucleotides) under Boophis reticulatus. RNAcentral's name for it is "partial 16S ribosomal RNA". It matches the Rfam family "Bacterial large subunit ribosomal RNA", at positions 2076 to 2597 of the family's 2925-position model. Lineage: Eukaryota; Metazoa; Chordata; Amphibia; Anura; Mantellidae. The record is from RNAcentral.